AUGAACGCUGGCGGCGUGCCUAAUACAUGCCAGUCGAGCGAACGGACGAGAAGCUUGCUUCUCUGAUGUUAGCGGCGGACGGGUUAGUAACACGUGGAUAACCUACCUAUAAGACUGGGAUAACUUCGGGAAACCGGAGCUAAUACCGGAUGAUAUUUUGAACCGCCUGGUUCAAAAGUGAAAGACGGUCUUGCUGUCACUUAUAGAUGGAUCCGCGCUGCAUUAGCUAGUUGGUAAGGUAACGGCUUACCAAGGCAACGAUGCAUAGCCGACCUGAGAGGGUGAUCGGCCACACUGGAACUGAGACACGGUCCAGACUCCUACGGGAGGCAGCAGUAGGGAAUCUUCCGCAAUGGGCGAAAGCCUGACGGAGCAACGCCGCGUGAGUGAUGAAGGUCUUCGGAUCGUAAAACUCUGUUAUUAGGGAAGAACAUAUGUGUAAGUAACUGUGCACAUCUUGACGGUACCUAAACAGAAAGCCACGGCUAACUACGUG
RNAcentral lists this ribosomal RNA (496 nucleotides) under uncultured bacterium. RNAcentral's name for it is "partial 16S ribosomal RNA". It matches the Rfam family "Bacterial small subunit ribosomal RNA", at positions 29 to 507 of the family's 1533-position model. The record is from RNAcentral.